Molecule: ribosomal RNA, 378 nt
Filed under: uncultured bacterium
Lineage: Bacteria
Description: bacterial SSU rRNA
Rfam family: Bacterial small subunit ribosomal RNA
Source: RNAcentral
AUACGUAGGGCGCAAGCGUUAUCCGGAAUCAUUGGGCGUAAAGAGCUCGUAGGCGGUUUGUCGCGUCUGCUGUGAAAACCCGAGGCUCAACCUCGGGCCUGCAGUGGGUACGGGCAGACUAGAGUGCGGUAGGGGAGAUUGGAAUUCCUGGUGUAGCGGUGGAAUGCGCAGAUAUCAGGAGGAACACCGAUGGCGAAGGCAGAUCUCUGGGCCGUAACUGACGCUGAGGAGCGAAAGGGUGGGGAGCAAACAGGCUUAGAUACCCUGGUAGUCCACCCCGUAAACGUUGGGAACUAGUUGUGGGGUCCAUUCCACGGACUCCGUGACGCAGCUAACGCAUUAAGUUCCCCGCCUGGGGAGUACGGCCGCAAGGCUAAA